CGGAGCUUCCCCCGGGGGGUGCGCGCCGCCUCUCCCGACUCCGGAGGCGCGUCCCCGCGCGGCCUGUGGCCGCGCACGACCGCCUCAGGCUGUUCUGGUGGAGCCUACGAGAGGCAGGGCCUGUCACUCCAGCGCGUGCUGCCUCGGGUCCUGUGGGGGGGGGUCUCAGAUGGUUCUUGGGGCGCACCUGGAGGGAGCGGGACGACGGUACUUGUCGCUCCCCAACCUGACACCUUGGCACAGUGAAACUAUGAGAAGUUUCUGGAUUAGGAUUAAGAGACCAGUCCAUCUAUCAAGGAUAACCACGGUCUAGAAAAAAGUAUCUCUGGCUUGCAGGUGAGGCUUUCCCAAAAUUAUACAGCUGUUAAGAGGCAGAGAAGAAGCAAGGCGUGAUCAUGAUCUCAGAUCCCAUGAAAGAAAGAUGACAUGCACAGAAGUUUUUAACUGGAUCCAAGGAUCCCAAGUUUAUAAAUGAUCCUCAAGUGUCUCCUUAUGGGAAAUGUUAUGUGUGUUCCAGUAUACAAUUUUGCUGAGAUAAAAGCUCAAAAUUUUCAUCACACUCUCAAAGAAAUCCAUAACCCACAGAAGAUUAAGAAUCACUGACUUAGAGGAUAUGUGAAGAUAAGGUAACAAUUCCCUUCUAGGAGCCACUGCUCAUAUCACAUCUUUCUUUUUAAAAAGCGUCAGAGAGGGAAUUGUGAUUAUGAAUGGCUUGGCCUCCCUAGCCUUCCUACUUGAGAUCAACUGUUUGCUUCAGAAAUUAGAGAUAGAGUUAUCUAGAAAGAACAAUGGCCUUGAAAAGAUAUUGAGAACUUUCUUUAAAGCAGCAACGCAACAAUCAAUGGAAGUUAUUCCAUUGAUCUAGAAGAUUUUAGUAGAUCUGUUUAAAGACACUUUGUAGGGACCCUUCACACUAUUCUAAAGUUAUUCUGGAACUAACUCAAGGGCUGUGUUUGGCCACUCUACAUUUUAAUGUAAAUGUUCCUUUGCUAAACAUAAGGUUAUAAAUCAGAUGGGUGGUAUCCCUAAAACCAGCAAGUUUCUCCCCUUUCUCAAGUUGUCAUCUCAUCAGCAUAACAGAUUUUUGGGGGAUCAUAAUAGUGCAUUAACUAAUUGUUAUUCACACUGAUUUGGAUAUGUGAAUAUCCAAAUCAUAUUGUUGUUAACCAUAUUAUUGCCUCAUUAUGACAAGAAGCAUUAGAGAUUUUGAAAGGCUAUAGGAUGUAGUAUAAAGAUCCCUGAUUCUAGAGACAGAAGACUUAGGUUUGAGUCUUGGCUUGGUUAUUUAAUGAGUUCAGUGACCUUUAGCAAAUCAUUGUACCUCUUAAAAUCCUAACUUUCACAUGUGUAAAAUGAGCAGAUGCUUGGCAUCAAUAAAUCUGGGUAAACGAUCAAUAA
This is a non-coding RNA of Microcebus murinus (gray mouse lemur), 1398 nucleotides long. The record is from RefSeq and is a predicted model, not a curated record. NCBI's taxonomy places the organism in Eukaryota, Metazoa, Chordata, Mammalia, Primates, Cheirogaleidae.